AAAGCAUGCUGUGGACACUUCCACAAGAAAUCCUUAAAUCACUCCCAUGUCUUAAACAAGGAUUCAAGCUCCAUCUGAACAAACAAUGAUAUUUCAUUAUGAAGUUU
Dioscorea cayenensis subsp. rotundata (Guinea yam) is the source of this 107-nucleotide small nucleolar RNA. NCBI's taxonomy places the organism in Eukaryota, Viridiplantae, Streptophyta, Magnoliopsida, Dioscoreales, Dioscoreaceae. The record is from RefSeq and is a predicted model, not a curated record.